This 405-nucleotide ribosomal RNA is filed under the name bacterium. RNAcentral describes it as "bacterial SSU rRNA". It matches the Rfam family "Bacterial small subunit ribosomal RNA", at positions 354 to 776 of the family's 1533-position model. The record is from RNAcentral.
GUGGGGAAUAUUGCACAAUGGGGGAAACCCUGAUGCAGCAACGCCGCGUGAGCGAUGAAGGCCUUCGGGUCGUAAAGCUCUGUCCUAAGGGAAGAAGAAUGACGGUACCUUAGGAGGAAGCCCCGGCUAACUACGUGCCAGCAGCCGCGGUAAUACGUAGGGGGCAAGCGUUAUCCGGAAUCACUGGGCGUAAAGGGUGCGUAGGCGGCCGAUAAAGUCUGGGGUGAAAGGCUACGGCUUAACCGUAGUAAGCCUUGGAAACUUAUUGGCUUGAGUGCAGGAGAGGUAAGUGGAAUUCCUAGUGUAGCGGUGAAAUGCGUAGAUAUUAGGAGGAACACCAGUGGCGAAGGCGACUUACUGGACUGUAACUGACGCUGAGGCACGAAAGCGUGGGGAGCGAACAGG